Molecule: ribosomal RNA, 560 nt
Filed under: uncultured Glomus
Lineage: Eukaryota; Fungi; Glomeromycota; Glomeromycetes; Glomerales; Glomeraceae
Description: SSU rRNA
Rfam family: Eukaryotic small subunit ribosomal RNA
Source: RNAcentral
AAUUGGAGGGCAAGUCUGGUGCCAGCAGCCGCGGUAAUUCCAGCUCCAAUAGCGUAUAUUAAAGUUGUUGCAGUUAAAAAGCUCGUAGUUGAAUUUCGGGAUCAAUAUUUCGGUCAUGCCGUUGGUAUGCACUGUUAUCAUUGAUUUCUCACCUUCUAAAGAACCGUAAUGCCAUUAAUUUGGUGUUACGGGGAAUUAGGACUGUUACCUUGAAAAAAUUAGAGCGUUUAAAGCAGGCUCACGCUUGAAUACAUUAGCAUGGAAUAAUGAAAUAGGACAUCCGAUUCUAUUUUGUUGGUUUCUAGGAUCGAUGUAAUGAUUAAUAGGGAUAGUUGGGGGCAUUAGUAUUCAAUUGUCAGAGGUGAAAUUCUUGGAUUUAUUGAAGACUAACUACUGCGAAAGCAUUUGCCAAGGAUGUUUUCAUUAAUCAAGAACGAAAGUUAGGGGAUCGAAGACGAUCAGAUACCGUCGUAGUCUUAACCAUAAACUAUGCCGACUAGGGAUCGGAUGAUGUUAAUUUUUUAAUGACUCAUUCGGCGCCUUACGGGAAACCAAAGUGU